RNAcentral lists this unclassified non-coding RNA (432 nucleotides) under soil metagenome. Its description in RNAcentral is "partial contains 5.8S ribosomal RNA, internal transcribed spacer 2, and large subunit ribosomal RNA". The stretch from base 1 to 120 matches the Rfam family "5.8S ribosomal RNA", at positions 35 to 154 of the family's 154-position model. The record is from RNAcentral.
GAUGAAGAACGUAGCGAAAUGCGAUACGUAAUGUGAAUUGCAGAAUUCAGUGAAUCAUCGAAUCUUUGAACGCAUAUUGCGCUCUCUGGUAUUCCGGAGAGCAUGCUUGUUUGAGUAUCAGGAAACACCUCAACUUCCAUAUCUUUUUUGAAAUGGGAGUUGGACUUGAGUGAUCCCAACGCUUUUCCUCACCGAAAAGUGGCGGGUUACUUGAAAUGCAGGUGCAGCUGGACUUUUCUCUGAGCUAUAAGCAUAUCUAUUUAGUCUGCCUAAAAAACAGAUUAUUACCUUUGCUGCAGCUAACAUAAAGGAGAUUAGUUCUUGUGCUGACUGAUGCAGGAUUCACAAAGACAGGCUUCGGCCGACUUUGUAAACUCGAUCUCAAAUCAAGUAAGACUACCCGCUGAACUUAAGCAUAUCAAUAAGCGGAGA